Molecule: long non-coding RNA, 130 nt
Organism: Thalassophryne amazonica
Lineage: Eukaryota; Metazoa; Chordata; Actinopteri; Batrachoidiformes; Batrachoididae
Exons: 3
Source: RefSeq, a predicted model, not a curated record
CAGAGCUCAAUCAUCUGCGAUCAGAUCAUUUCAAAUGCUGUUAUGAUGCCGUCAGAGUAUGUAGAUUGCGAUCAGAUGGUGCACAAACUGCACAUCGACUGCCAUCAGAUGUGCCAUCUAUCUCGUGUUU